GCGCAGCAGGCGCGAAUAUUCCGCAAUGGGCGAAAGCCUGACGGAGCGACGCUGCGUGCGGGAAGAAGGCCUUCGGGUUGUAAACCGCUUUUCUGGCUGAUCAAGUCCAUUUUAUUAUGGAUUGAGCGUAGGCCAGGAAGUAAGGGGCCGCUAAACUCGUGCCAGCAGCGGCGGUAAUACGAGUGCCCCAAGCGUUAUCCGGAGUUACUGGGCGUAAAGCGUCUGUAGGCGGCUUACUAAGUUUCUGGUUAAAUCCUAAGGCUCAACCUUAGGGCUGCCAGAAAAACUGGUAGGCUAGAGGAGUUGAGAGGUUGACGGAACUGGCGGUGUAGGGGUGAAAUCCGUUGAUAUCGCCAGGAACGCCGAAGGCGAAGGCAGUCAACUGGCAAUUCCUGACGCUGAGAGACGAAAGCGUGGGGAGCGAAUGGGAUUAGAUACCCCCGUAGUCCCU
RNAcentral lists this ribosomal RNA (451 nucleotides) under uncultured microorganism. Its description in RNAcentral is "bacterial SSU rRNA". It matches the Rfam family "Bacterial small subunit ribosomal RNA", at positions 346 to 798 of the family's 1533-position model. The record is from RNAcentral.